Molecule: RNA transcript, 3036 nt
Organism: Ctenopharyngodon idella (grass carp)
Lineage: Eukaryota; Metazoa; Chordata; Actinopteri; Cypriniformes; Xenocyprididae
Gene: popdc2
Gene name: popeye domain containing 2
Exons: 4
Source: RefSeq, a predicted model, not a curated record
CCUGCACCCUAUUUCUAAGCAGCAGAAUAGUGUAUUACAUUAUCUACCAAUUGCUGGGCCAAGUUAUGUGAAACUACAAACAGGAAUGGCCAGGGAGGGGGAGGUAAACAGUGUUACAUGAUCUCCUCUGUUAUUUUAUCUGUCUCAGAUUCUCUAAAUAUGCCCCCCAUAGCCUAGGACCCUCCUCCCCUCAAACACCAGAAGAGCUGGAAUACAAGUUUACUCUUUGAUUGUGAGAAAAUGAGUGUUGGUGACAUCUAGCAGAGCUUUCAAAGAUCUUCACAAAUGUCAGUGAACGCUUCUCUCCAUGCCACUUGUUAUCGUAAUCACUCUGCUCGACCAUCUUUGUGUUAUGUUAAGUAGUGAGUCUGCUUUCUGUCUGUGGCUCUUUCCUCCUUGGGUUUCAAUUCCAAACAUGGUUAUCCUUCUCAUAGUCUCUACCCCCGCCUCUCCUGCUCCAUGUUUCCAACAGUCUUCAGUCCAGUGUGGGACAGGGAACAGAAGCAGAGACAUUAUAGGGCUGAUUUCUAAAAGGAAAAGUGGGUGUCAAUGGAACUGAAUGGAACGGAAUUAUGAAGCUUCCUUCAUUCCAACUGUUUUUGGCAGUAAGUGGUGCAUUGACUGUUAGAGGGUGUGGGGAACAAUCUGUUUGUAUCUAAUAUCUAGUCUUUUUAACAACCAUUUUAAUACCUUGGGCUUUUGAACCUCUAAUUUUUCCAUCAAGGUAUUUGAUGACACUCUUUUUUUAAUUCGGUAUUUCAUUGAAUUGGAGACUCAAACAUGAAUAGUGGCGACUCUAUCUUCAUUGACAGCAUAAUUUUCAAUCACACACUCUGCAAUGGCUGGACCAACAGCACUGAAGGUGCCAUCUACCAUCUGGGUAACACUAUUCUUUUUUUGGGCUAUAUGGGUGGUAGUGGAGCAUAUGGGGCUCUGUACAUCUUCAGUUUUUUGGCUCCCGCUUUCCUCUGUCUGGCUCUGUGGGGCUGGCUGACGGUGUGCGGCCUUGAUGUCUUCCUCUGGAACCUGCUGCUGAUGCUGCAGUGUUUGGCCCAGGUGUGUCAUCUGAUUUUUCGGCUGAUGCAGGACGGUUUAGCCAACGAGGAGCUUUCUGCGUUCUACACGGCGGUCUAUCUGCCGCUGGAUGUACCUGUGCAGGUGUUCAAGGACAUCACGGCUGCUAGCGAGAACAAAGUGCUCUCUCUAGCGGCGGAGGAGACAUAUGCUGUGGAGGGGAAGACGCCCAUUGAUCAGCUGUCUUUUCUCAUUUCUGGCAGGAUUAGAGUGUCCUUAGAAGGUCAAUUUCUCCAUUAUAUCUUCCCUCACCAAUUUCUUGACUCUCCAGAAUGGGAGUCUCUAAGACCAACAGAGGAGGGCAACUUCCAGGUGACAUUAACCGCAGAGACGGACUGCCGUUACAUCUCUUGGCGCAGACGUCGGCUUUACCUUCUGCUGUCCAAGGAUCGUUACAUUGCCCGACUUUUCUCUGUCAUGCUCGGAAGUGACAUUGCUGACAAACUGUACUCUCUCAAUGACAAGCUGUUUGCCAAGAGCGGUGUGCGCCUUGAUAUUCGUCUGCCCAGUCUCUACCACGUCCUCGCCCCCUCGCCACAGGGCAGUGAGGGUGGCAGCACUAGCUCACCACCCAGGGGAAGCCAAGGAGAUCCUACAGUUGUAAAGGUUGAUCCAGCACCGUCUAACCAGCGCUCUGAUGAAAGAACCUUCCAUCCGGACCAGGGAAAGACCCCUGUGCCCAAACCUCCACACCAGGUCUGGCCCUCAGACACAGAGAUGCCCUCUGGUGAGGACUCAACCAGCUUGGUUCUGGAGGACUUUGCUGAUAUGACAGGCUCUCUAAUGGACUACGGGAGUGAGAGGGAAUAUUUGAAGUAAAGAUUAGGGUGUUGAAGCUUAACACACUGGGACACUUCUUAAAUCACAAUAGGAUGAUACUCCAGGAAGUCUUCCACUUCGUUUCCAAAGAGGAUGUGCCCCACUGGCCCCUACUGACACCCCAAAGCUGUAGGAAUGGUUUCAGCAGUAUAAAGACCAUAACAUCUGAACGAUUCCUCCAUUAAAUCACCAUCACUGUUUCCUUUCAUAUGAUUGAAGACAACAUUAACACAGAACAGUAAAAGAUCCAUCAAAUGUACUUUUGUUUAGGACAAAACAGAAUCACAAAACUUUUUUUUUUUUUUUUUUUGUCCAGACAGAUACUGUGUUAUAUAUGAUUCCACAUUGCUGUGAUUUCAGCAUGGCUGUUUUAUAUUUAUUUGAAAUGGCAUGUGUUUGUUAGUGAAAUCUGUUUGGAAUACUGUAUUUGCGACAGGAUUUGUAAGGUAAAAGCAACAAAUUAGAUUUUUCAACACAAACAAAUCAAUCUUUAUUUAAUUUUAACACCUCAGAGUUUAUUGAUAGUAGGUAGAUAAUGAGAUUACAAAAGUGUGUGCUUUAUCAUAAUAGGAAGUUAGUAAAUGCUUCAUCAUCAUGUAGUGAGACUAUAUACUGACCAUGUUAUGAAAAUGUAUUUUCAUGGGGCCAACUAUUAAGUGCUGGGUUAAAAACGUGACUUGAUAUUCUUCUUACAAUACCAUUUCAAAGCAGAGAUUAGCCUUAUUGCUAAUUGUGAAUGAACAGAUCUAAUUUGUAAUAUCAAGUAUGCAGUGUGCAGUUAAAAAAACUAAUCAAAGUGCCAAAGUAUUGAAUUUUGUAACUUGAAUAGUAAGUUUUAAUAACUGAAAAUGAACAUUCAGCACAUAUAUUAACACAUAAAAGAACUGCUGUAUGUUAAAUGACUGACUUUCUUAAUACACAAUAUUUUUUGUAGCUGAUUGUUGUCUAACAAAACUAAACAAAGAAAUUCAGGCACGUUAAAUUCCUCUCGACUGAUAUUUCACUAUAACACUCUCUGGAACAGUGCACAUAAAAACAAAAGUAUCUGAAAUCAUAUUUUACAUUAUUUGUGAAAUCAUAUACAUAUUUUUUUGUGAAAACAAUCAUUUUGUGAAAACACAAUAAAUAUAUCUAACAGAGCAA